Malania oleifera is the source of this 106-nucleotide small nucleolar RNA. Lineage: Eukaryota; Viridiplantae; Streptophyta; Magnoliopsida; Santalales; Ximeniaceae. The record is from RefSeq and is a predicted model, not a curated record.
ACUUGAUGAUGUAGACAUUUACGUAGCAAGUCCUUGAAAUGCUCCCAGGUCUUAAAGAAAAGUUCCUCAUCCGUUUGUGUGAAACUUGUGAUUGCCCUUUGCAGCU